This 451-nucleotide ribosomal RNA is filed under the name uncultured bacterium. RNAcentral's name for it is "bacterial SSU rRNA". It matches the Rfam family "Bacterial small subunit ribosomal RNA", at positions 29 to 524 of the family's 1533-position model. The record is from RNAcentral.
AACGAACGCUGGCGGCAUGCCUAACACAUGCAAGUCGAACGAAGCCUUCGGGCUUAGUGGCGCACGGGUGCGUAACGCGUGGGAAUCUGCCCUUGGGUUCGGAAUAACAGUUAGAAAUGACUGCUAAUACCGAAUGAUGUCUUCGGACCAAAGAUUUAUCGCCCAAGGGAUGAGCCCGCGUCGGAUUAGCUAGUUGGUGAGGUAAAGGCUCACCAAGGCGACGAUCCGUAGCUGGUCUGAGAGGAUGAUCAGCCACACUGGGACUGAGACACGGCCCAGACUCCUACGGGAGGCAGCAGUGGGGAAUAUUGGACAAUGGGCGAAAGCCUGAUCCAGCAAUGCCGCGUGAGUGAUGAAGGCCUUAGGGUUGUAAAGCUCUUUUACCCGGGAUGAUAAUGACAGUACCGGGAGAAUAAGCCCCGGCUAACUCCGUGCCAGCAGCCGCGGUAAU